GUGGGGAAUUUUGGACAAUGGGGGCAACCCUGAUCCAGCCAUUCCGCGUGAGUGAAGAAGGCCUUCGGGUUGUAAAGCUCUUUCGGCAGGAACGAAACGGUGAGCUCUAACAUAGCUCGCUAAUGACGGUACCUGAAGAAGAAGCACCGGCUAACUACGUGCCAGCAGCCGCGGUAAUACGUAGGGUGCGAGCGUUAAUCGGAAUUACUGGGCGUAAAGCGUGCGCAGGCGGUUGUGUAAGACAGGUGUGAAAUCCCCGGGCUUAACCUGGGAACUGCGCUUGUGACUGCACGGCUAGAGUAUGGCAGAGGGGGGUGGAAUUCCACGUGUAGCAGUGAAAUGCGUAGAGAUGUGGAGGAACACCGAUGGCGAAGGCAGCCCCCUGGGCCUGUACUGACGCUCAUGCACGAAAGCGUGGGGAGCAAACAGGAUUAGAUACCCGGGUAGUCC
This 450-nucleotide ribosomal RNA is filed under the name uncultured bacterium. RNAcentral's name for it is "partial 16S ribosomal RNA". It matches the Rfam family "Bacterial small subunit ribosomal RNA", at positions 354 to 796 of the family's 1533-position model. The record is from RNAcentral.